RNAcentral lists this long non-coding RNA (214 nucleotides) under Capsella rubella. RNAcentral describes it as "long non-coding RNA (CRUB_LNC004325)". Lineage: Eukaryota; Viridiplantae; Streptophyta; Magnoliopsida; Brassicales; Brassicaceae. The record is from RNAcentral.
UACAAUUGUAGUAUUUUUGUGUGUGUGUGUAGUGAGAUCAUGGAUGAUGGAUGCAACAAGAAUAUAGCCAAUAGAAGAAAAAAAGGCAAAGAGGGAACAAAGAAUCUGACAGAAACAGUGUCUUAUCCUCAUCUCUUCAUUUCUCUCUUUGGGGAAAGCAUCUUCUUACUUGUCGCUUCCCUAUAGCUUCUUCCUUAUUCUCUUUUGCUUUCUC